UACAGGGGGUGCAACCGUUGCUCGGAAUUAUUGGGCGUAAAGCGCACGUAGGCGGUUCGUUAUGUCAGAUGUGAAAGCCCUUGGCUCAACUGAGGAAGUGCAUCUGAAACUGGCGAGCUAGAGUACGUAAGAGGGUCGCGGAAUUCCCGGUGUAGAGGUGAAAUGCGCAGAUAUCGGGAGGAACACCGGUGGCGAAGGCGGUUCUCUGGGCCUUACCUGACGCUGAGGAGCGAAAGCGUGGGGAGCAAACAGG
RNAcentral lists this ribosomal RNA (253 nucleotides) under uncultured bacterium. Its description in RNAcentral is "partial 16S ribosomal RNA". It matches the Rfam family "Bacterial small subunit ribosomal RNA", at positions 524 to 776 of the family's 1533-position model. The record is from RNAcentral.